UACGUAGGGUGCAAGCGUUGUCCGGAAUUAUUGGGCGUAAAGAGCUCGUAGGCGGUUUGUCGCGUCUGCUGUGAAAACGCGAGGCUCAACCUCGCGCCUGCAGUGGGUACGGGCAGACUAGAGUGCGGUAGGGGAGAUUGGAAUUCCUGGUGUAGCGGUGGAAUGCGCAGAUAUCAGGAGGAACACCGGUGGCGAAGGCGGUGGUCUGGGCCGGAACUGACGCUGAGGAGCGAAAGCGUGGGGAGCGAACAGG
RNAcentral lists this ribosomal RNA (253 nucleotides) under uncultured bacterium. RNAcentral's name for it is "partial 16S ribosomal RNA". It matches the Rfam family "Bacterial small subunit ribosomal RNA", at positions 524 to 776 of the family's 1533-position model. The record is from RNAcentral.